CGGGUUGCACAUGGGCAUGAUCAAUACGGCGCCGUUUUGGGGCCACUGAAACAGGCCCCUAUAUAUGCCCAAUUUUGGAACCCUAAAACACCAUUCCUCUGCCAAUCCUCAAGUGCGCCGCAGCUCUUCUUUCACUGCCGUUCUCCCAUCUCAGACCAGACACCAGCAAAAAGAGGAUGCCCGACGACUCUCUCGACGGUAAGUCCUCUUUUUCUCCUCUUCUUCGUUUAUUUUUGUUGUUUUUUUAAAAAGAAGCAAAAGAAAAGAACAAGGUAAAUUAAAAAAACAGUAAAAGAACAGAGAAAGAAAACAAGAUCCCACCUUCAAAAAUGUUUCUUUCUGUCUAUUUUCUUUUUGAUUUAGGUAUAAAAAUUUUGCUAACCCCCAUUACAGAUUCCAUUUGACUUUAAAUAGCCAAAAUAACAAAAAGAAAAAACCCCCGAAAACCCCUUUUCCACCCUUUACUGUUCGUGGUUCGAUUUGUUGCAGGUACGCGUGUGUGGCGUGCACGGAGUGCUGAACGUGGGGCGGUUUGGGAGGCUGCCGAACGUGGGGCAUGCGGCGCUGACUGCUGCUAACCCCUUAGGGUUUCUACAUUUGAAAAUUGUUACGGCUAUGUAUUGGGCCAGUGUUGUAUUUGGGUUUGUAUUGGGCUUGUUAUUAUUUGGGUCUACUUUGGACUGGUGUAAUGAGUAUUUGGGUUGGUCUUAUUUUGAAUGGGCCGGGCAAAAAUGGGCUAUUACAACUCCAAUUUUUCGACUAAAUAAUAGAAACACAGUAAUUACUAGUACUUUUGGUCCUCGUGGAUACGAUAUUCCCUACUCGCCAUAACUAUACUAUUACUCAAUAGGUGUGCUUUCCUUAGUUGUAUUUAUAGUUAGUUUAGUGACAUUACCAUUCCUUUUGUCGACACCUGUCUAAAAUCAAACACUUUUUGAUUUUGAGAUUUUAAAACAAUGGUAUACUUUCAGUUUAGUCCCUAGAAUAUGUUUAAAAUCUAUAUACCUAUAUAUGGCACGUGGGCACACCAACCAACUUCCUUUCUUUUUCCCAUUUUAUAAAAUGGCUAAUUUUCAAUUUCAG
This 1083-nucleotide long non-coding RNA is filed under the name Gossypium barbadense (sea-island cotton). Its description in RNAcentral is "long non-coding RNA (GBAR_LNC019296)". The record is from RNAcentral. Lineage: Eukaryota; Viridiplantae; Streptophyta; Magnoliopsida; Malvales; Malvaceae.